CACGUAGGGGGCGAGCGUUGUCCGGAUUUAUUGGGCGUAAAGAGCUCGUAGGCGGCUCGGUAAGUCAGGUGUGAAAACUCUAGGCUCAACCUAGAGACGCCACCUGAUACUGCUGUGGCUAGAGUCCGGUAGGGGAGCAUGGAAUUCCUGGUGUAGCGGUGAAAUGCGCAGAUAUCAGGAGGAACACCGGUGGCGAAGGCGGGUCUCUGGGCAGUAACUGACGCUGAGGAGCGAAAGCGUGGGGAGCGAACAGG
Molecule: ribosomal RNA, 254 nt
Filed under: uncultured bacterium
Lineage: Bacteria
Description: partial 16S ribosomal RNA
Rfam family: Bacterial small subunit ribosomal RNA
Source: RNAcentral